RNAcentral lists this long non-coding RNA (218 nucleotides) under Solanum tuberosum (potato). RNAcentral's name for it is "long non-coding RNA (STUB_LNC001739)". Lineage: Eukaryota; Viridiplantae; Streptophyta; Magnoliopsida; Solanales; Solanaceae. The record is from RNAcentral.
UGUAGAUAUAGUAUAACCAGAUUGUGGAGACACGUGAGUAGAGGCAUUAUGUGACUGGUGUGCCGAGUGAGUAGUUGAAACUGAGGCUCGUUUUGAAAUAUUAACUCGAGAGGGCUCAUCAGAUAUCACGACCCCAGUGGGCCUUCUCAUAUCAUUGGCCUUAAAUUUCUUUUUUGGAUUAGCGGAUUUUUUUUAUUUACCCUUGUCUGUAUCUAUCA